Molecule: ribosomal RNA, 484 nt
Filed under: uncultured bacterium
Lineage: Bacteria
Description: partial 16S ribosomal RNA
Rfam family: Bacterial small subunit ribosomal RNA
Source: RNAcentral
AUUGAACGCUGGCGGCAUGCUUUACACAUGCAAGUCGAACGGCAGCGCGGGCUUCGGCCUGGCGGCGAGUGGCGAACGGGUGAGUAAUGCAUCGGAACGUGCCCAGUAGUGGGGGAUAGCCCGGCGAAAGCCGGAUUAAUACCGCAUACGACCUGAGGGUGAAAGCGGGGGGCCGAAAGGCCUCGCGCUAUUGUAGCGGCCGAUGUCGGAUUAGCUAGUUGGUGGGGUAAAGGCUUACCAAGGCGACGAUCCGUAGCUGGUCUGAGAGGACGACCAGCCACACUGGGACUGAGACACGGCCCAGACUCCUACGGGAGGCAGCAGUGGGGAAUUUUGGACAAUGGGGGCAACCCUGAUCCAGCCAUGCCGCGUGCGGGAAGAAGGCCUUCGGGUUGUAAACCGCUUUUGUUCGGGAAGAAAUCCUCUGGGCUAAUACCCCGGGGGGAUGACGGUACCGGAAGAAUAAGCACCGGCUAACUACGUG